RNAcentral lists this ribosomal RNA (745 nucleotides) under uncultured marine microorganism. RNAcentral's name for it is "bacterial SSU rRNA". It matches the Rfam family "Bacterial small subunit ribosomal RNA", at positions 757 to 1501 of the family's 1533-position model. The record is from RNAcentral.
AAGCCAGGGGAGCGAAAGGGAUUAGAUACCCCCGUAGUCCUGGCCGUAAACGAUGAACACUAGGUGUCGGGGGAAUCGACCCCUUCGGUGUCGUAGCUAACGCGUUAAGUGUUCCGCCUGGGGAGUACGCACGCAAGUGUGAAACUCAAAGGAAUUGACGGGGGCCCGCACAAGCGGUGGAGUAUGUGGUUUAAUUCGAUGCAACGCGAAGAACCUUACCAGGGUUUGACAUCCUGCGAACCUCUUAGAAAUUUGAGGGUGCCUUCGGGAAUGCAGUGACAGGUGGUGCAUGGCUGUCGUCAGCUCGUGUCGUGAGAUGUUGGGUUAAGUCCUGCAACGAGCGCAACCCACGUUUUUAGUUGCCAGCAUUUAGUUGGGCACUCUAGAAAGACCGCCGGUGAUAAACCGGAGGAAGGUGUGGAUGACGUCAAGUCAUCAUGCCCCUUACACCCUGGGCUACACACGUACUACAAUGCUACGGACAAAGGGCAGCAAACUCGCGAGAGCUAGCAAAUCCCAUAAACCGUGGCUCAGUUCAGAUCGUAGGCUGCAACUCGCCUACGUGAAGUAGGAAUCGCUAGUAAUCGCAGGUCAGCAUACUGCGGUGAAUACGUUCCCGGGCCUUGUACACACCGCCCGUCACACCAUGGAAGUUGGCCAUGCCCGAAGUCGUUACUCCAACCCUUGUGGAGGAGGACGCCGAAGGUGGGGCUAAUGACUGGGGUGAAGUCGUAACAAGGUAGCC